Molecule: ribosomal RNA, 624 nt
Filed under: Oenococcus oeni
Lineage: Bacteria; Bacillati; Bacillota; Bacilli; Lactobacillales; Lactobacillaceae
Description: bacterial SSU rRNA
Rfam family: Bacterial small subunit ribosomal RNA
Source: RNAcentral
GGUGAGUGAGGCAAUGACUAGAGUGGCGAACUGGUGAGUAACACGUAAGAAACCUGCCCUUUAGUGGGGGAUAACAUUUGGAAACAGAUGCUAAUACCGCGUAACAACAAAUCACACAUGUGAUCUGUUUGAAAGGUCCUUUUGGAUCGCUAGAGGAUGGUCUUGCGGCGUAUUAGCUUGUUGGUAGGGUAGAAGCCUACCAAGGCAAUGAUGCGUAGCCGAGUUGAGAGACUGGCCGGCCACAUUGGGACUGAGACACUGCCCAAACUCCUACGGGAGGCUGCAGUAGGGAAUUUUCCGCAAUGCACGAAAGUGUGACGGAGCGACGCCGCGUGUGUGAUGAAGGCUUUCGGGUCGUAAAGCACUGUUGUAAGGGAAGAAUAACUGAAUUCAGAGAAAGUUUUCAGCUUGACGGUACCUUACCAGAAAGGGAUGGCUAAAUACGUGCCAGCAGCCGCGGUAAUACGUAUGUCCCGAGCGUUAUCCGGAUUUAUUGGGCGUAAAGCGAGCGCAGACGGUUUAUUAAGUCUGAUGUGAAAUCCCGAGGCCCAACCUCGGAACUGCAUUGGAAACUGAUUUACUUGAGUGCGAUAGAGGCAAGUGGAACUCCAUGUGUAGCGGUGA